GAAGCUCGCGCCUCUCCAACGCCCCAGUCCCACCUCGAGGCCGGCGGGCUUGCUUCCCACGUGCCUCCCUCCUGCCCCAAACUCCCAUAACCGCCGCUUCAGAAGUCCUUGAACUUGCUAUCUACAGAAAUCUCUUCACACCCGGCCAACAACCAUCGGCGCUCUCCAUGGGCUAGUAUUGAAUCGGAAAGACAUCUCAGUAAACGGCGGAACUCCUUGAAAAAUGUGAAGUUGAGGGGAUCAGUGUGAAGGUCCUCCUCAGCUUGUACCUUGAACAUGACUCUCUAUUCCAUCCAGGUAGAGAAAAGAGGAAUUCUAAAAGCUGUGAUGAACCCUUUGAAAUAAACUACUACUCUGAGCCAAGAGCUACCAACUUUGGAAAGUUCCUCAUCCUCAGUAUGCUCAUCAAGAAGUUUUUGGCACAAACCAUUCUGGGAUUUAGGUUAAGUUCAAAAUCCAUGUUAGAAAAUUAGUUUUAAAAAAGAAAAUAAAGUAUUCUUUGAGAGUAA
Molecule: long non-coding RNA, 509 nt
Organism: Antechinus flavipes (yellow-footed antechinus)
Lineage: Eukaryota; Metazoa; Chordata; Mammalia; Dasyuromorphia; Dasyuridae
Exons: 3
Source: RefSeq, a predicted model, not a curated record